Molecule: long non-coding RNA, 1667 nt
Organism: Brassica oleracea var. oleracea
Lineage: Eukaryota; Viridiplantae; Streptophyta; Magnoliopsida; Brassicales; Brassicaceae
Exons: 4
Source: RefSeq, a predicted model, not a curated record
UCGUAUUUUCUCUCUUCUUGACUUUCGAGAACUCUAUCAAUCGACGCUUCCACAAUUUGCUGAAACAGCAAAUCCCUUCGAUUUUUUUUUCAGAUUAAGUUUCCUUUUCUCUCGUUCGCCUGAAGCGGAUCUAGCUGGUUAGGGCUUCUCGCUCUCGCCGUCGAGUUCUAUAACAGAAACAGAGAAUAAAAGGCUUCAUUCAAGAAUAAGAGACUUUGAACAAGAUUCAAGUGAUUAUGAUGAGACGAAAAUGAAGGAGUUAGAGCAGAUCAGCGUGACAACAUAUAACAUCACCUCAAACGCAAUGAUGACAAUGAUCUUUGUUGGCCUUGACUCCGCGCUUCACACCGUCUCUCUAAGGUAAAUUCUCUGCAUGUCCUUAGACUUUCUCGUUUUGUUUUGAAGCGCUUUUAUCCCGGUUUUUUUUUUGAGAUUUUUGAAAUCAGGAUUCCGUUUUGAACUGUUUUUUAUUUGACUCCGAUUUUCCUCUUUUUUAACAGGACUUUUAAAGCUUUUUGUUUUCUUGUGGUUUUAUCAAACCCAAGAGAUUAGGCAGACGUUCUUGUAAUGUUCCACCAAAUCUUGUUUGGGCAUUGUUUUGGUUUUGUUUUGUUUUUGUUUUUCAAACCCCAAAAAAGAUCAUAGACAGACACUAAUCUUAUAGUGUUCUGUCAGAUUCUUGUUUGGGAACAUUGUUUUGGUUUUGUUUUUCAAACCCCAAAAGAGAUCAUAGACAGACACUAAUCUUAUAGUGUUCUGUCAGAUUCUUGUUUGGGAACAUUGUUUUGGUUUUGUUUUUCAAACCCCAAAAGAGAUCAUAGACAGACACUAAUCUUAUAGUGUUCUGUCAGAUUCUUGUUUGGGAACAUUGUUUUGGUUUUGUUUUUCAAACCCCAAAAGAGAUCAUAGACAGACACUAAUCUUAUAGUGUUCUGUCAGAUUCUUGUUUGGGAACAUUGUUUUGGUUUUGUUUUUCAAACCCCAAAAGAGAUCAUAGACAGACACUAAUCUUAUAGUGUUCUGUCAGAUUCUUGUUUGGGAACAUUGUUUUGGUUUUGUUUUUCAAACCCCAAAAGAGAUCAUAGACAGACACUAAUCUUAUAGUGUUCUGUCAGAUUCUUGUUUGGGAACAUUGUUUUGGUUUUGUUUUUCAAACCCCAAAAGAGAUCAUAGACAGACACUAAUCUUAUAGUGUUCUGUCAGAUUCUUGUUUGGGAACAUUGUUUUGGUUUUGUUUUUCAAACCCCAAAAGAGAUCAUAGACAGACACUAAUCUUAUAGUGUUCUGUCAGAUUCUUGUUUGGGAACAUUGUUUUGGUUUUGUUUUUCAAACCCCAAAAGAGAUCAUAGACAGACACUAAUCUUAUAGUGUUCUGUCAGAUUCUUGUUUGGGAACAUUGUUUUGGUUUUGUUUUUCAAACCCCAAAAGAGAUCAUAGACAGACACUAAUCUUAUAGUGUUCUGUCAGAUUCUUGUUUGGGAACAUUGUUUUGGUUUUGUUUUGUUUUUGUUUUUCAAACCCCAAAAAAGAUCAUAGACAGACACUAAUCUUAUAGUGUUCUGUCAGAUUCUUGUUUGGGAACAUUGUUUUGGUUUUGUUUUUCAAACCCCAAAAGAGAUCAUAGACAGACACUAAUCUUAUAGUGUUCUGUCAGAUUCUUGUUUGGG